RNAcentral lists this ribosomal RNA (253 nucleotides) under uncultured bacterium. RNAcentral's name for it is "partial 16S ribosomal RNA". It matches the Rfam family "Bacterial small subunit ribosomal RNA", at positions 524 to 776 of the family's 1533-position model. The record is from RNAcentral.
UGCGGAGGGUGCGAGCGUUGUUCGGAAUCACUGGGCGUAAAGCGCGUGUAGGCGGCCUUGUAAGUCUGGUGUGAAAGCCCGGGGCUUACCCCCGGAAGUGCACUGGAGACUGCAAGGCUUGAGUACCGGAGAGGAAAGUGGAAUUCCUGGUGUAGCGGUGGAAUGCGCAGAUAUCAGGAGGAACACCUAUAGCGAAGGCAGCUUGCUGGGACGUUACUGACGCUAAGGCGCGAAAGCUAGGGGAGCAAACGGG